GAAAGUUGUUCGUGAGUCUCUCGAAUUUUCGCAACACGAUGAUGAAUCGAAAGAAACAUCUUCGGGUUGUGAGGUUAAGCGACUAAGCGUACACGGUGGAUGCCCUGGCAGUCAGAGGCGAUGAAGGACGUGCUAAUCUGCGAUAAGCGUCGGUAAGGUGAUAUGAACCGUUAUAACCGGCGAUUUCCGAAUGGGGAAACCCAGUGUGUUUCGACACACUAUCAUUAACUGAAUCCAUAGGUUAAUGAGGCGAACCGGGGGAACUGAAACAUCUAAGUACCCCGAGGAAAAGAAAUCAACCGAGAUUCCCCCAGUAGCGGCGAGCGAACGGGGAGGAGCCCAGAGCCUGAAUCAGUGUGUGUGUUAGUGGAAGCGUCUGGAAAGGCGCGCGAUACAGGGUGACAGCCCCGUACACAAAAAUACACAUAUUGUGAGCUCGAUGAGUAGGGCGGGACACGUGGUAUCCUGUCUGAAUAUGGGGGGACCAUCCUCCAAGGCUAAAUACUCCUGACUGACCGAUAGUGAACCAGUACCGUGAGGGAAAGGCNGUGAGACAGGUGCUGCAUGGCUGUCGUCAGCUCGUGUUGUGAAAUGUUGGGUUAAGUCCCGCAACGAGCGCAACCCUUAUCCUUUGUUGCCAGCGGUCCGGCCGGGAACUCAAAGGAGACUGCCAGUGAUAAACUGGAGGAAGGUGGGGAUGACGUCAAGUCAUCAUGGCCCUUACGACCAGGGCUACACACGUGCUACAAUGGCGCAUACAAAGAGAAGCGACCUCGCGAGAGCAAGCGGACCUCAUAAAGUGCGUCGUAGUCCGGAUUGGAGUCUGCAACUCGACUCCAUGAAGUCGGAAUCGCUAGUAAUCGUGGAUCAGAAUGCCACGGUGAAUACGUUCCCGGGCCUUGUACACACCGCCCGUCACACCAUGGGAGUGGGUUGCAAAAGAAGUAGGUAGCUUAACCUUCGGGAGGGCGCUUACCACUUUGUGAUUCAUGACUGGGGUGAAGUCGUAACAAGGUAACCGUAGGGGAACCUGCGGUUG
Molecule: ribosomal RNA, 1039 nt
Filed under: Shigella sonnei
Lineage: Bacteria; Pseudomonadati; Pseudomonadota; Gammaproteobacteria; Enterobacterales; Enterobacteriaceae
Description: bacterial SSU rRNA
Rfam family: Bacterial small subunit ribosomal RNA (bases 387-1039)
Source: RNAcentral